ACAGCCCAGAUCACCAUUUAAGGCCCCAAAAUAUUUACUAAGUGAUAAAGGAUGUAAUAUUACAUAGACAACCAGGAGGUUUGCUUAGAAGCAGCCAUUCCUUUAAAAAGUGCGUAAUAGCAUACUGGUCAAGUGAUUUUGCGCCGAAAAUGAAUGGGACUAAGUAAUUUGCCGAAGAUGUGAGAAUUAUUCAGUAGAAGAGCGUUCUGUUUUGUUUGAAGCAAUAGCUAAAGCAGUUGUGGACUAAACAGAAGUGAGAAUGUCGGCUUAAGUAACGAAAACAUUGGUGGAAAUCCAAUGCCCCGUAAAUCUAAGGUUUCCUUCGCCAGGUUCGUCCACGAAGGGUUAGUCAGGUCCUAAAAUGAGGUUUAACAACGUAAUUGAUGGACAACAGGUUAAUAUUCCUGUACCAUUUUUCAUUUUAUUAAGAGUGACGAAAACGGCUAGGUUAGCCAAGCACUGGUUUUUGGUUUAAUAUUUUAAUGUGUUGAUGAAUGUUAUCAAAAAAUAUUUUGAGCAAAAAAAUAGAAUACGAGAGAUACUACGGUAUUGCAAGUAACUGAUGUCAAGUUUCCUAGAAAAACUUUUGUAGUAUUAAAUGAAUUAUGCCUGUACCGUAAACUGACACAGGUAGAUUAGUAGAGAAUACUAAGGGGCGCGAGAUAACUGUUUCUAAGGAACUCGGCAAAAUGACUCCGUAACUUAGGAAGAAGGAGUGCCUCAGGUAUGAGGUCGCAGUGAGCAGGCCCAAGCGUCUGUUUACCAAAAACACAGGUCUCCGCUAAGUUGAAAAACGAUGUAUGGGGGCUGACGCCUGCCCAGUGCCGGAAGGUUAAAGAAGUUGGUUAGCGUAAGCAAAGCUAGUAACUGAAGCCCUGGUGAACGGCGGCCGUAACUAUAACGGUCCUAAGGUAGCGAAAUUCCUUGUCGGGUAAGUUCCGACCCGCACGAAAGGCGUAACGAUUUGGGCGCUGUCUCGGAAACAGACUCGGUGAAAUAGAAUUGACUGUGAAGAUGCGGUCUACUUGCACUUGGACAGAAAGACCCUAUGAAGCUUUACUGUAACUUGAAAUUGAUUUUGGGCUUUUUUUGCGCAGCAUAGGUGGGAGGCUAUGAAUCUCUUUUUCGGAAGUUGAUGAGCCAUAAUAUGAGAUACCACUCUAAAAGAGUUAGAACUCUAAUGAUAUUACUAUGAUAUUUGACAGUUUCAGGCGGGCAGUUUUACUGGGGCGGUAGCCUCCUAAAAAGUAACGGAGGCGUACAAAGGUUUUCUCAGUCUGGACGGAAAUUAGUUGGAGAGUGUAAAGAUAUAAGAAAGCUUGACUGUGAGACCUAUAAGUCAAACAGAGACUAAAGUCGGUCUUAGUGACCCGACGGUUCUGAAUGGAAAGGCCGUCGUUCAACAGAUAAAAGUUACGUAUGACCAGCUCUGAAGAGGGAAUAAUCAUGCGGUCUGAAAAUGAGCAUGAUAUAAAAUCAAAUAUAAAAAAUGCUGUGAUGCAUUUUGUUAAAACCAAACUAAAGCAUAGAAAGAUCUGAUACCUAUUGGUAUACUGAUUGUCGGCCUCAAAUUAUAAUGGAAAGUAAUUUUGGGUUAAGUAGACCUAAAAGUCUAGCGGGAUGGAAAGGUAUUAAAAUCCUGGGGCGAGCUUAUUUCAUGUAGGCCUACAGAUGCUCUCUCGAGCUAUAAGGAAUCGUUGCAUAAAAUAUCAUAAUUAUCUGUCAGGGUAUCUAUACCGAAUAAACCCCUUGUAACCGUAAGAUCGGUACACUUCAAUUUGGAAAACAGUUGGUAACACCUGUUUGGUAUACACCAAGAAGUUGGUAUAAAGACGGAGACCUACUUGAACUAUCUAUACAUAGUUAUAGGUAAGUAUUUAUAUUUGGAACUGGGUCACCUUCUCUUAAUCACCAUAAAAAAUAAAAUAUGGCACUCCAAAUGUAUUAAGGGGGGGAAAGGAUGGGACACCAAGCUAAAGCCUAGACUGAGUUAACAGUCAAUGCAUGAAAAGUGAUGGAGUAACUUCCGGGAUAAGCUAAAUUGGCCCGAAACCUAAGUUAAUCAUCCCUACAAUUGAUGAUUACUAUUGGUGCAUUCUAAACAGAAAUGUGUUAUUAAUAUAUUCAACGGCAAAUCAAUUUUAAAAUUAUUUAAUUAGGGAUUAAGAAAUAACUUCAAAAUUGACUUUAAACGAUAAUAUAUUAUUACUUACAAUUUCCUUUAGAUCGUACCUUGGGUUUAGUAGCCGGAUGCGUAGUAAUACGCAUGUCCGGUUUCGGAGGAGAAGUCGAAUUACAAAUACAUAAGUAGUUCAACUCACUCUCUAACUCUAGGGAUAACAGGCUGAUCUCCCCCAAGAGUUCACAUCGACGGGGAGGUUUGGCACCUCGAUGUCGGCUCAUCGCAACCUGGGGCGGUAGUACGUCCCAAGGGUUAGGCUGUUCGCCUAUUAAAGCGGUACGUGAGCUGGGUUCAGAACGUCGAGAGACAGUUCGGUCCAUAUCCGGUGUAAGCGUUAGAGUAUUGAAAGGAUCUUUCCUUAGUACGAGAGGACCGGGAAGGACACACCACUGAUGUGCCAGUUUUUGUACCAACAGAAUACGCUGGGUAGUCAAGUGUGGAGUGGAUAA
Molecule: ribosomal RNA, 2631 nt
Filed under: Euglena deses
Lineage: Eukaryota; Euglenozoa; Euglenophyceae; Euglenales; Euglenaceae
Source: RNAcentral